Molecule: ribosomal RNA, 680 nt
Filed under: Pristimantis brevifrons
Lineage: Eukaryota; Metazoa; Chordata; Amphibia; Anura; Strabomantidae
Description: partial 12S ribosomal RNA
Rfam family: Bacterial small subunit ribosomal RNA
Source: RNAcentral
GGAGCUGAUAUCAGGCACGCCCAAGACAUCUAGUCAUGCCACGCCCACAAGGGCCUUCAGCAGUGAUCAACAUUAAAAAUAAACGUCAGUUUGAUUUAGCCAAUAAAUAUAGAGCCGGCCAAUCUGGUGCCAGCCGCCGCGGUUACACCACGUGGCUCAAAUUGAUUCGGCGUAAAGCGUGAUUAAAGUGAGGUUAAACUUAGACUAAGCCGUAACACGCUUGUUUUAAAGAAAGCCAUACCUUAAGGUACCCCAACGCACCAACUUGAACUCACUACAGCUAGAAAACAAACUGGGAUUAGAUACCCCACUAUGCCUAGUCGUAAACCUUAACUUACAUCGCCCGGGAACUACGAGCAAAGCUUAAAACCCAAAGGACUUGACGGUACCCCACAUCCUCCUAGAGGAGCCUGUCCUAUAACCGAUACCCCCCGUUAAACCUCACCAUUUUUAGCAGCCUGUAUACUUCCGUCGCCAGCUUACCGCAUGAGCGAGUAAGCUUAAUGCCAAAACGUCAGGUCAAAGUGCAGCAAAUAAAAUGGGAAGAGAUGGGCUACACUCUCUACUCUAGAAGACACAAAAGCUGCGUGAAAUACAAGGCGGAUUUAGAAGUAAGAAGAAAGUAGAAUAUUCCUCUUAACUCGGCACUGGGGUGUGUACAUACCGCCCGUCACCCUCUC